GCCUGAGUGGUCUAGUGGUAUGAUACACCGUUCGGAUCGGUGUGGUCCCCGGAUCGAUCCCGGGCUCGGGCC
This is a non-coding RNA of Thecamonas trahens ATCC 50062, 72 nucleotides long. The record is from the annotation of a RefSeq genome assembly. Lineage: Eukaryota; Apusomonadida; Apusomonadidae.